GCGUGAGUGAAGAAGGCCUUCUUCGUUGUAAAGCUCUUUCGCAAGGGAAGAAAACUUACCUUUUAAUAAAGGGUGAGGUUGACGGUACCUUGAUAAGAAGCACCGGCUAACUACGUGCCAGCAGCCGCGGUAAUACGUAGGGUGCAAGCGUUAAUCGGAAUUACUGGGCGUAAAGCGUGCGCAGGCGGCCUUGAAAGUCAGAUGUGAAAUCCCCGAGCUCAACUUGGGAACUGCGUUUGAAACUCCAAGGCUAGAAUAUGUCAGAGGGGGGUAGAAUUCCACGUGUAGCAGUGAAAUGCGUAGAGAUGUGGAGGAAUACCAAUGGCGAAGGCAGCCCCCUGGGAUAAUAUUGACGCUCAUGCACGAAAGCGUGGGGAGCAAACAGGAUUAGAUACCCCGGUAGUCCACGCCCUAAACGAUGUCUACUAGUUGUUGGUGGAGUAAAAUCCAUGAGUAACGCAGCUAACGCGUGAAGUAGACCGCCUGGGGAGUACGGUCGCAAGAUUAAA
RNAcentral lists this ribosomal RNA (509 nucleotides) under uncultured bacterium. RNAcentral's name for it is "bacterial SSU rRNA". It matches the Rfam family "Bacterial small subunit ribosomal RNA", at positions 399 to 898 of the family's 1533-position model. The record is from RNAcentral.